Molecule: unclassified non-coding RNA, 329 nt
Filed under: soil metagenome
Description: partial contains 5.8S ribosomal RNA, internal transcribed spacer 2, and large subunit ribosomal RNA
Rfam family: 5.8S ribosomal RNA (bases 1-120)
Source: RNAcentral
GAUGAAGAACGCAGCGAAAUGCGAUAAGUAAUGUGAAUUGCAGAAUUCAGUGAAUCAUCGAAUCUUUGAACGCACAUUGCGCCCCCUGGUAUUCCGGGGGGCAUGCCUGUCCGAGCGUCAUUACAACCCUCAAGCUCAGCUUGGUGUUGGGCCCCGCCGCCCCGGCGGGCCCUAAAGUCAGUGGCGGUGCCGUCCGGCUCCGAGCGUAGUAAUUCUUCUCGCUCUGGAGGUCCGGUCGUGUGCUCGCCAGCAACCCCCAAUUUUUUUCAGGUUGACCUCGGAUCAGGUAGGGAUACCCGCUGAACUAAAGCAUAUCAAUAAGCGGAGGA